RNAcentral lists this ribosomal RNA (909 nucleotides) under uncultured bacterium. RNAcentral's name for it is "bacterial SSU rRNA". It matches the Rfam family "Bacterial small subunit ribosomal RNA", at positions 11 to 935 of the family's 1533-position model. The record is from RNAcentral.
GUUUGAUCAUGGCUCAGGAUGAACGCUAGCGGCAGACCUAAUACAUGCAAGUCGAACGGUGUCUUCGGACAUAGUGGCGCACGGGUGCGUAACACGUAUGCAACCUACCUUACAUUGGGGGAUAGCCUUUCGAAAGGGAGAUUAAUACCGCAUAAGACAGUAGUCUGGCAUCAGACAGCUGUUAAAGAUUUAUCGAUGUAAGCUGGGCAUGCGACCAAUUAGUUAGUUGGCGAGGUAAUGGCUCACCAAGACUAUGAUUGGUAGGGGAACUGAGAGGUCAAUCCCCCACACUGGCACUAAGAUACGGGCCAGACUCCUACGGGAGGCAGCAGUAGGGAAUAUUGGGCAAUGGACGCAAGUCUGACCCAGCCAUGCCGCGUGCAGGAAGAAGGCGUUAUGCGUUGUAAACUGCUUUUAUACAGGAAGAAACGACUCUUGCGAGAGGCAUUGACGGUACUGUAUGAAUAAGCACCGGCUAACUCCGUGCCAGCAGCCGCGGUAAUACGGAGGGUGCAAGCGUUGUCCGGAUUUAUUGGGUUUAAAGGGUGCGCAGGUGGUUUAUUAAGUCAGUGGUGAAAGACGGUCGCUCAACGAUUGCAGUGCCAUUGAAACUGGUAGACUUGAGUAAAGUAGAGGUGGGCGGAAUUGAUAGUGUAGCGGUGAAAUGCAUAGAUAUUAUCAAGAACUCCAAUUGCGUAGGCAGCUCACUUGGCUUUUACUGACACUCAUGCACGAAAGUGUGGGUAUCAAACAGGAUUAGAUACCCUGGUAGUCCACACUGUAAACGAUGAUAACUAGGUGUCGGCCGAAUCUGGUCGGUGCCACAGCGAAAGCGUUAAGUUAUCCACCUGGGGAGUACGCCGGCAACGGUGAAACUCAAGGAAUUGACGGGGUCCGCACAAGCGGUGG